AUUACGGUUUGUUUUCCUUGUUCUGACUGCGGCAAAUUCAUUUAAAGUCACUGUGUCCUUUUCUAAUGGUUUGGUUACAAUGGCCUGUGAUUCCAUGAAGCCCGAUCAUUUUGGCUUCUCACCUCAAACUGGUCAGCCACCAUAUGUAAUCGAUCCUAAAAGAUAUGAUGUCUCCGGCUCCAACAGGGCAGAAAUCACAGUGACACUUAGGGGCAAUCCUGAUGAAUUCAGAGGUUUUCUGUUGAAGGCCUCAGACCAAAAUGGAAAUGACGCCGGCACUUUCACUUUAAUAGAUACUUCUGAGACUCGGCUCCUAGAUUGCAACGGAGUGUCAGGUUCAGCUGUUAGCCAAACACGCAACAUUAACAAGAAAGAAAUCAGUGUCAAAUGGAAACCCUCAAUGGAUGGACAUUACACAUUCAGAGCCACAUUUAUUCAGAAACUAGAAGUAUUCUGGGUUGCAGAGCCCGUUACUCCUCUACCCACCACCUCUGCCCCUGCUAGCACUUCAACAACAUCAGCAUCAACAUCUACCGGGUC
Molecule: long non-coding RNA, 540 nt
Organism: Megalops cyprinoides (Indo-Pacific tarpon)
Lineage: Eukaryota; Metazoa; Chordata; Actinopteri; Elopiformes; Megalopidae
Exons: 4
Source: RefSeq, a predicted model, not a curated record